RNAcentral lists this ribosomal RNA (497 nucleotides) under uncultured bacterium. RNAcentral's name for it is "partial 16S ribosomal RNA". It matches the Rfam family "Bacterial small subunit ribosomal RNA", at positions 28 to 507 of the family's 1533-position model. The record is from RNAcentral.
GACGAACGCUGGCGGCGUGCCUAAUACAUGCAAGUUGAGCGAUGAAGAUUGGUGCUUGCACCAAUUUGAAGAGCAGCGAACGGGUGAGUAACGCGUGGGGAAUCUGCCUUUGAGCGGGGGACAACAUUUGGAAACGAAUGCUAAUACCGCAUAACAACUUUAAACAUAAGUUUUAAGUUUGAAAGAUGCAAUUGCAUCACUCAAAGAUGAUCCCGCGUUGUAUUAGCUAGUUGGUGAGGUAAAGGCUCACCAAGGCGAUGAUACAUAGCCGACCUGAGAGGGUGGUCGGCCAAAUUGGGACUGAGACACGGCCCAAACUCCUACGGGAGGCAGCAGUAGGGAAUCUUCGGCAAUGGACGAAAGUCUGACCGAGCAACGCCGCGUGAGUGAAGAAGGUUUUCGGAUCGUAAAACUCUGUUGGUAGAGAAGAACGUUGGUGAGAGUGGAAAGCUCAUCAAGUGACGGUAACUACCCAGAAAGGGACGGCUAACUACGUG